RNAcentral lists this unclassified non-coding RNA (264 nucleotides) under fungal sp. RNAcentral's name for it is "partial contains small subunit ribosomal RNA, internal transcribed spacer 1, and 5.8S ribosomal RNA". The stretch from base 1 to 47 matches the Rfam family "Eukaryotic small subunit ribosomal RNA", at positions 1785 to 1831 of the family's 1831-position model. Lineage: Eukaryota; Fungi. The record is from RNAcentral.
AAAGUCGUAACAAGGUUUCCGUAGGUGAACCUGCGGAAGGAUCAUUAACACGUAUCCAUACGUAUUAUAUACCAAACCGUGAACUUGUUUGUAAAUAACGAAAAGUGGGAUUGGGAAACUAAUCUCACUUUGUAACUUAUUACAACUUUAUAAACCACUUGUAACCAUAUCGAACUAAACCUAAGAAUGUGAUUGCUUUAUGCAAUGACAAUCUGUAUUUACGAAACGUAAAAACAAUUCUUAGCAACGGAUAUCUUGGUUCUC